CCUACGGGAGGCAGCAGUGAGGAAUUUUCUGCAAUGGGCGAAAGCCUGACAGAGCAAUACCGCGUGCGGGAUGAAGGCCUACGGGUUGUAAACCUCUUUUCUCAAGGAGGAAGAACUGACGUUACUUGAGGAAUAAGCAUCGGCUAACCCUGUGCCAGCAGCCGCGGUAAUACAGGGGAUGCAAGUGUUAUCCGGAAUUAUUGGGCGUAAAGCGUCUGCAGGUUGAUAUUUAAGUCUUUUGUUAAAUCUUUGGGCUUAACCCAAAACUGCAAAAGAAACUAUUUAUCUUGAGUAUGGUAGAGGUAAAGGGAAUUUCCAGUGGAGCGGUGAAAUGCGUAGAUAUUGGAAAGAACACCAACAGCGAAGGCACUUUACUGGGCCAGUACUGACACUCAGAGACGAAAGCUAGGGGAGCAAACGGGAUUAGAUACCCCGGUAGUCCUAGCUGUAAACGAUGGAUACUAGAUGUUGUGUGCUUUCGGGCAUGCAGUGUCGUAGCUAACGCGUUAAGUAUCCCGCCUGGGAAGUAUGCUCGCAAGAGUGAAACUCAAAUGAAUUGACGG
This 563-nucleotide ribosomal RNA is filed under the name uncultured bacterium. Its description in RNAcentral is "bacterial SSU rRNA". It matches the Rfam family "Bacterial small subunit ribosomal RNA", at positions 338 to 916 of the family's 1533-position model. The record is from RNAcentral.